UGGGGAAUUUUGGACAAUGGGCGAAAGCCUGAUCCAGCAAUGCCGCGUGUGUGAAGAAGGCCUUCGGGUUGUAAGGCACUUUUGUCCGGAAAGAAAUCCUCUGGGUUAAUACCUCGGGGGGAUGACGGUACCGGAAGAAUAAGCACCGGCUAACUACGUGCCAGCAGCCGCGGUAAUACGUAGGGUGCAAGCGUUAAUCGGAAUUACUGGGCGUAAAGCGUGCGCAGGCGGUUUGCUAAGACCGAUGUGAAAUCCCCGGGCUCAACCUGGGAACUGCAUUGGUGACUGGCAGGCUAGAGUAUGGCAGAGGGGGGUAGAAUUCCACGUGUAGCAGUGAAAUGCGUAGAGAUGUGGAGGAAUACCGAUGGCGAAGGCAGCCCCCUGGGCCAAUACUGACGCUCAUGCACGAAAGCGUGGGGAGCAAACAGGAUUAGAUACCCUGGUAGUCCACGCCCUAAACGAUGUCAACUAGUUGUUGGGGAUUCAUUUCCUUAGUAACGUAGCUAACGCGUGAAGUUGACCGCCUGGGGAGUACGGUCGCAAGAUUAAAACUCAAAUGAAUUGACGGGGUCAUAGCUGUUUCCU
Molecule: ribosomal RNA, 585 nt
Filed under: uncultured bacterium
Lineage: Bacteria
Description: partial 16S ribosomal RNA
Rfam family: Bacterial small subunit ribosomal RNA
Source: RNAcentral